RNAcentral lists this ribosomal RNA (428 nucleotides) under uncultured bacterium. RNAcentral's name for it is "partial 16S ribosomal RNA". It matches the Rfam family "Bacterial small subunit ribosomal RNA", at positions 354 to 796 of the family's 1533-position model. The record is from RNAcentral.
GUCGAGAAUCUUCCGCAAUGCGCGAAAGCGUGACGGAGCGACACCACGUGAUGGAUGAAGUCCUUCGGGGCGUAAACAUCUUUUAUAAAGGAGGAAAUUUUUGACGUUACUUUAUGAAUAAGUGGCUCCCAAUCUCGUGCCAGCAGGAGCGGUAAUACGAGAGCCUCAAGCGUUAUCCGGAAUCAUUGGGCGUAAAGGGUGCGUAGGUGGUUUGAUUAGUCUCCCGUUAAAACUUCGAGCUUAACUCGAAAAGAGCGGGGGAAACGGUCAAACUAGAGUAUGUGAGAGGUGUGUGGAACUCAUGGUGUAGGGGUGAAAUCCGUUGAUAUCAUGGGGAACACCAAAAGCGAAGGCAGCACACUGGCACAUCACUGACACUGAGGCACGAAACCUAAGGUAGCGAAUGGGAUUAGAAACCCCAGUAGUCC